GACGAACGCUGGCGGCGUGCUUAACACAUGCAAGUCGAACGGUGAACCUCUUCGGAGGGGAUCAGUGGCGAACGGGUGAGUAACACGUGGGCAACCUGCCCCCGGCUCUGGGAUAACUCCAAGAAAUUGGGGCUAAUACCGGAUGUUCACCGCUUCCCGCAUGGGUGGUGGUGGAAAGGGUUUCCGGCUGGGGAUGGGCCCGCGGCCUAUCAGCUUGUUGGUGGGGAAGUGGCCUACCAAGGCGACGACGGGUAGCCGGCCUGAGAGGGUGACCGGCCACACUGGGACUGAGACACGGCCCAGACUCCUACGGGAGGCAGCAGUGGGGAAUAUUGCGCAAUGGGCGGAAGCCUGACGCAGCGACGCCGCGUGGGGGAUGACGGCCUUCGGGUUGUAAACCUCUUUCAGCAGGGACGAAGCGCAAGUGACGGUACCUGCAGAAGAAGCACCGGCCAACUACGUG
RNAcentral lists this ribosomal RNA (463 nucleotides) under uncultured bacterium. RNAcentral's name for it is "partial 16S ribosomal RNA". It matches the Rfam family "Bacterial small subunit ribosomal RNA", at positions 28 to 507 of the family's 1533-position model. The record is from RNAcentral.